GGACUACCCGGGUAUCUAAUCCCGUUCGCUCCCCUGGCUUUCGCGCCUCAGCGUCAGAAGAGAUCCAGUACGUCGCUUUCGCCACCGGCGUUCCUUCCGAUAUCAACGCAUUUCACCGCUCCACCGGAAGUUCCACAUACCCCUAUCUCCCUCUAGACUGCCAGUAUCCAAAGCCCUUUUCCGGUUAAGCCGAAAGAUUUCACCCCGGACUUGGCAGCCCGCCUACGCGCCCUUUAAGCCCAGUGAUUCCGAACAACGUUUGCACGGUUCGUCUUACCGCGGCGGCUGGCAC
This 292-nucleotide ribosomal RNA is filed under the name uncultured bacterium. RNAcentral describes it as "partial 16S ribosomal RNA". RNAcentral also lists the same sequence under 2 other names. The record is from RNAcentral.